GCCAGACUCCUACGGGAGGCAGCAGUGGGGGAUAUUGCACAAUGGGGGAAACCCUGAUGCAGCGACGCCGCGUGAGUGAAGAAGUAUUUCGGUAUGUAAAGCUCUAUCAGCAGGGACGAAAAUGACGGUACCUGAGUAAGAAGCCCCGGCUAACUACGUGCCAGCAGCCGCGGUAAUACGUAGGGGGCAAGCGUUAUCCGGAUUUACUGGGUGUAAAGGGAGCGUAGACGGUUAUGCAAGUCUGGAGUGAAAGGCGGGGGCUCAACCCCCGGACUGCUUUGGGAACUGUACGGCUGGAGUGCAGGAGAGGUAAGUGGAAUUCCUAGUGUAGCGGUGAAAUGCGUAGAUAUUAGGAGGAACACCAGUGGCGAAGGCGGCUUACUGGACUGUAACUGACGUUGAGGCUCGAAAGCGUGGGGAGCAAACAGGAUUAGAUACCCCUGUAAA
This 447-nucleotide ribosomal RNA is filed under the name uncultured bacterium. Its description in RNAcentral is "bacterial SSU rRNA". It matches the Rfam family "Bacterial small subunit ribosomal RNA", at positions 330 to 793 of the family's 1533-position model. The record is from RNAcentral.